RNAcentral lists this unclassified non-coding RNA (776 nucleotides) under Hevea brasiliensis (rubber tree). Lineage: Eukaryota; Viridiplantae; Streptophyta; Magnoliopsida; Malpighiales; Euphorbiaceae. The record is from RNAcentral.
GUAAUAAGCAGGAAGGUCAUAACGGCGACGAAAAAUGGCGUCUUUUGUACCUACCAAACAAUUUGUCGGAGCUUCGUCGUCCUCCGAUAUCGGAUCCUCUCGUCUUGUAUCUCUUCAGCUACCUUCUAAGUUCUCAUCUUCCAACUUUCAUCUCCCAUCUCGUCCAUCACAACUCAAACGCUUAGAGAUACAGGCUGCUGGUAGUACAUUUGGAAAUUACUUCCGCGUUACAACUUUUGGAGAAUCUCAUGGUGGUGGAGUUGGUUGUAUUAUUGAUGGAUGUCCUCCCCGUCUCCCACUUUCUGAAUCUGAUAUGCAGGUGGAACUUGACAGGAGGAGGCCAGGUCAAAGCCGCAUUACCACACCUAGGAAAGAGACUGACACUUGCAAAAUUUCAUCAGGCACUGCAGAUGGGCUGACUACUGGAUCUCCAAUCAAGGUUGAAGUACCUAACACUGAUCAGAGAGGAAAUGACUACAGUGAAAUGUCGCUUGCUUACAGGCCAUCUCAUGCAGAUGCCACUUAUGACUUCAAGUAUGGAGUGAGAUCUGUACAGGGGGGUGGUAGAUCAUCAGCAAGAGAGACUAUUGGGAGAGUUGCUGCUGGAGCAGUUGCUAAGAAAAUUCUCAAACUCUAUUCUGGAGCUGAGGUUCUUGCUUAUGUUUCUCAAGUUCACCAAGUUGUACUUCCUGAGGAUUUGAUUGAUCAUCAGAACGUGACUUUAGAGCAGAUAGAAAGCAAUAUUGUCCGAUGCCCGGAUCCGGAAUAUGCAGAGA